UACGGGGGGGCAAGCGUUGUUCGGAAUUACUGGGCGUAAAGGGCUCGUAGGCGGCCAACUAAGUCCGACGUGAAAUCCCCAGGCUUAACCUGGGAACUGCGUCGGAUACUGGUUGGCUUGAAUCCUGGAGAGGGUGGCGGAAUUCCCGGUGUAGAGGUGAAAUUCGUAGAUAUCGGGAGGAACACCAGAGGCGAAGGCGGCCACCUGGACAGAGAUUGACGCUGAGACGCGAAAGCGUGGGGAGCAAACAGG
This 252-nucleotide ribosomal RNA is filed under the name uncultured bacterium. Its description in RNAcentral is "partial 16S ribosomal RNA". It matches the Rfam family "Bacterial small subunit ribosomal RNA", at positions 524 to 776 of the family's 1533-position model. The record is from RNAcentral.